GCCAGUGAGCCUCUUUUAUCUCUUGUCCUAUGUUCAUACUUUUGUAAAGAUCAUACCUGAUUCUCAAAGGAUACAGAAAACAGAAAGCUUUUGGGUGAUUCCUAAAUUAUUUGGGAAGUUCUCCUGAGAAGGAAGGUGAACUAACUUUGAAGGAAGGUUCCUUUUCCUGUGAAGAGAAAGAAGACCAAAACUCUGUCUCAAGCUGCCUCCUUCAGUCAGUUAACCAUUUUAAAUUCACCUUUCUCAUAAUGGAUGCAGGAAACUCAAAUCAUACCAGCACAGACAUUGUUAUUAGUGAGGAA
Molecule: long non-coding RNA, 302 nt
Organism: Fukomys damarensis (Damara mole-rat)
Lineage: Eukaryota; Metazoa; Chordata; Mammalia; Rodentia; Bathyergidae
Exons: 3
Source: RefSeq, a predicted model, not a curated record